This 497-nucleotide ribosomal RNA is filed under the name uncultured bacterium. RNAcentral describes it as "partial 16S ribosomal RNA". It matches the Rfam family "Bacterial small subunit ribosomal RNA", at positions 28 to 507 of the family's 1533-position model. The record is from RNAcentral.
GAUGAACGCUGGCGGCGUGCCUAAUACAUGCAAGUCGAGCGAACAGACGAGGAGCUUGCUGCUCUGUCGUUAGCGGCGGACGGGUGAGUAACACGUGUAUACCCUACCUAUAAUACUGGUAUAACUUCGGGAAACCGGAGCUAAUACCGUAUAAUAUAUUGAACCGCAUGGUUCAAUAGUGAAAGACGGUUUUGCUGUCUCUUCUAGAUGGAUCCGCGCCGCAUUGGGUAGUUGGUAAGGUAACGGCUUACCAAGGCAACGAUGCGUAGCCGACCUGAGAGGGUGGUCGGCCACACUAGAACUGAGACACGGUCCAGACUCCUACGGGAGGCAGCAGUCGGCAAUCUUCCGCAAUGGGCGAAAGCCUGACGGAGCAACGCCGCGUGAGUGGUGAAGGUCUUCGGAUCGUAAAACUCUGUUAUUAGGGAAGAACAAAUGUGUAAGUAACUAUGCACGUAUUGACGGUACCUAAUAAGAAAGCCACGGCUAACUACGUG